This 351-nucleotide RNase P RNA is filed under the name fish gut metagenome. RNAcentral's name for it is "Bacterial RNase P class A". It matches the Rfam family "Bacterial RNase P class A". From Rfam's summary of the family: Ribonuclease P (RNase P) is a ubiquitous endoribonuclease, found in archaea, bacteria and eukarya as well as chloroplasts and mitochondria. Its best characterised activity is the generation of mature 5'-ends of tRNAs by cleaving the 5'-leader elements of precursor-tRNAs. The record is from RNAcentral.
AUGCGGAUGAUCGCUUGUGUCUUUAUUGUGCAUAAGAGGAAAGUCCGAACACUUAUGAGCAGGAUGACCGAUAACAUCGGUUCGUGGUAACACGGGGAUAGCGUUACAGAAAAUAACCGCCAUAUAUAAAUUUAUUUAUGUACGGUAAGGGUGAAAAUUUAGGGUAAGAACCUAUAACGAUAGUUGGUAACAGCUGUCGAGAACAAGCCCCAUCUGGUGCAAGACAAACCGUGAAGAGAUUGCUCAUAUCGUUACUAUUCACAGGUAGUUGCUAGAGGUAAAUAGUAAUAUUUAUCGUAGAUAGAUGAUCAUCACUCGUUAAUUCGAGUACAAAAUUCGGCUUAUAGCAUC